Molecule: transfer RNA, 68 nt
Filed under: Anolis aquaticus (water anole)
Lineage: Eukaryota; Metazoa; Chordata; Lepidosauria; Squamata; Anolidae
Description: tRNA-Trp
Source: RNAcentral
GAAAACUUAGGUUAAUUAAACCAAGGGCCUUCAAAGCCCUAAAUAAGGCCGCCCAGUCUUAGUUUUUG